RNAcentral lists this non-coding RNA (135 nucleotides) under zebrafish metagenome. RNAcentral's name for it is "FMN riboswitch (RFN element)". It matches the Rfam family "FMN riboswitch aptamer (RFN element)". Rfam says of the family: The RFN element is a highly conserved domain that is found frequently in the 5'-untranslated regions of prokaryotic mRNAs that encode for flavin mononucleotide (FMN) biosynthesis and transport proteins. This element is a metabolite-dependent riboswitch that directly binds FMN in the absence of proteins. The record is from RNAcentral.
UGUUCUCAGGGCGGGGUGCAAUUCCCCACCGGCGGUAAUGGGCCAUGGCCCUAGCCCGCGAGCGCCCCAGCGAUGGGGGUCAGCAGACCCGGUGUGAUCCCGGGGCCGACGGUAUAGUCCGGAUGGAAGAGAACG